RNAcentral lists this non-coding RNA (47 nucleotides) under Trichobilharzia regenti. Lineage: Eukaryota; Metazoa; Platyhelminthes; Trematoda; Strigeidida; Schistosomatidae. The record is from RNAcentral.
AUCCAGUUGACGAGUCCCAAAUAGGACGAAACGCACAUCUGCUGGAU